Molecule: ribosomal RNA, 465 nt
Filed under: uncultured Lactococcus sp.
Lineage: Bacteria; Bacillati; Bacillota; Bacilli; Lactobacillales; Streptococcaceae
Description: bacterial SSU rRNA
Rfam family: Bacterial small subunit ribosomal RNA
Source: RNAcentral
CCUACGGGUGGCAGCAGUAGGGAAUCUUCGGCAAUGGACGAAAGUCUGACCGAGCAACGCCGCGUGAGUGAAGAAGGUUUUCGGAUCGUAAAACUCUGUUGGUAGAGAAGAACGUUGGUGAGAGUGGAAAGCUCAUCAAGUGACGGUAACUACCCAGAAAGGGACGGCUAACUACGUGCCAGAAGCCGCGGUAAUACGUAGGUCCCGAGCGUCGUCCGGAUUUAUUGGGCGAAAAGCGAGCGCAGGUGGUUUGUUAGAGCGUGUUUGAAAGGGCAGGGGUCAACCCAUGGUUGGCGUUGAAACUUGUAGACCUUAGGUGAAGAGAGGAGAGUGGAAUUCCAUGUGUAGCGGUUAAAUGCCGAGAUAUAUGGAGGGACACCGGUGGCGAAAGCGGCUUCCUUGGCUGUAACUGACACUGAGGCUCGAAAGCGUGGGGAGCAAACAGGAUUAGAUACCCGGGUAGUC